RNAcentral lists this ribosomal RNA (254 nucleotides) under uncultured bacterium. RNAcentral's name for it is "partial 16S ribosomal RNA". It matches the Rfam family "Bacterial small subunit ribosomal RNA", at positions 524 to 776 of the family's 1533-position model. The record is from RNAcentral.
UACGUAGGUGUCAAGCGUUGUCCGGAUUUAUUGGGCGUAAAGCGCCCGCAGGCGGCUUGCCAAGUUCGAUGUGAAAUCUCCCGGCUCAACUGGGAGGGUGCAUCGAAAACUGGCAGGCUUGAGGCAGGGAGAGGGAUGUGGAAUUCCAGGUGUAGUGGUGAAAUGCGUAGAUAUCUGGAGGAACACCCAUGGCGAAGGCAGCUCCCUGGCUCGAUCCUGACGCUGAGGCGGCGAAAGCGUGGGGAGCGAACGGG